CAUUUCUCAACAACUAUUUUUUAGAUCUCUCGAGGAGAAAUCACUGUAGACAACGAAAAGACACUUGCCUGCUGUGCUCAUUAUUAUACAUAUAUGAACUGAAUUGGACGACUGAACCACCCUAUUUAGUAUUCGGUAGCUAGCUAUACAUGAUUAUUAUGCCUGCUUUUAAGUUUACUAAUUGAUGCGGCUGUAGCCCACAAAGACCUAAUCCUUUUACGCCCUUUCCUUUUCCUCUGGUCUCUGAAAAAAUCAAGGAGCACUAAUCAAUAAUAUCCAGAGUCCUGUAUAUCUUUCGCCAUCAAUAUAUCUUUUGGUUAUUGCCCAAGCAAACUCAUGGCAGAGACCCUCUCGCAAGAAUUACUCAGGUACCAAUCUGAAAGCAACGACUUGAGCUAGGAUGGAGACCUUGCUUGGUAGAGGGGGGGUUGGAGCAUGAAUUCUAAAGGCAUGACAAGUGCAAAUAUCACAAGGUAGGACCUAACAUGAGAUGUGUUCUUUCAUCUUAACAUGCCAUUUUAGCAGACAUUGAAGGUUACCUGUCAUCCUUCUUCUCUGGGAUUACAUUUCCUCUACGUGUUCUUCUCAUCCUUUUAUAUUCAUCACGCUCCGGCCGGCGACGAUAUGAGUGUGUGUGUGUGUGUAUAUAUAUAGACACAUAAUCAUCAAGGUUUUCACGACUAGCUAGUUCACAUAUCGCAGCAUAACAAAAAUAUUGGGAGGGAGCUCCAGAUAUUUAUUUUCACGCGCAUCACA
This 756-nucleotide long non-coding RNA is filed under the name Populus trichocarpa (black cottonwood). RNAcentral describes it as "long non-coding RNA (PTRI_LNC000121)". Lineage: Eukaryota; Viridiplantae; Streptophyta; Magnoliopsida; Malpighiales; Salicaceae. The record is from RNAcentral.